GUUCAUACCAUCCAGCCAAAGUUUAGUAUAUAAAGCUUGAACCCCUUCCCCCACAAAAAAGAAUUGGUUUCGUUUUUUAUUUUUCGGUUUUCGUUUUGAUUAAUAUUACCACUAAGUACCAGUUUUUUCGGUUUAGGUUUUAAUUAAAAAUACCUAUAUCCCUUUUUUUGGCUGAUUCGAAUUGGUUCCCGGACCCUAGUGAUUUUGAUAUUAGUUGGGUCCCGGUUUUCGGUAAAUAAUAUACUAGUUGGCACCAAACGUUUAAAAGCAAUAUAAAGCAUUUUCCUUCUCG
Non-coding RNA from Cinara cedri, 292 nucleotides. The record is from the annotation of a GenBank genome assembly. Lineage: Eukaryota; Metazoa; Arthropoda; Insecta; Hemiptera; Aphididae.